RNAcentral lists this ribosomal RNA (1520 nucleotides) under Escherichia coli. RNAcentral's name for it is "partial 23S ribosomal RNA". It matches the Rfam family "Bacterial large subunit ribosomal RNA", at positions 365 to 1875 of the family's 2925-position model. The record is from RNAcentral. Lineage: Bacteria; Pseudomonadati; Pseudomonadota; Gammaproteobacteria; Enterobacterales; Enterobacteriaceae.
UGACAGCCCCGUACACAAAAAUGCACAUAUUGUGAGCUCGAUGAGUAGGGCGGGACACGUGGUAUCCUGUCUGAAUAUGGGGGGACCAUCCUCCAAGGCUAAAUACUCCUGACUGACCGAUAGUGAACCAGUACCGUGAGGGAAAGGCGAAAAGAACCCCGGCGAGGGGAGUGAAAAAGAACCUGAAACCGUGUACGUACAAGCAGUGGGAGCCUCUUAAUGGGGUGACUGCGUACCUUUUGUAUAAUGGGUCAGCGACUUAUAUUCUGUAGCAAGGUUAACCGAAUAGGGGAGCCGAAGGGAAACCGAGUCUUAACUGGGCGUUAAGUUGCAGGGUAUAGACCCGAAACCCGGUGAUCUAGCCAUGGGCAGGUUGAAGGUUGGGUAACACUAACUGGAGGACCGAACCGACUAAUGUUGAAAAAUUAGCGGAUGACUUGUGGCUGGGGGUGAAAGGCCAAUCAAACCGGGAGAUAGCUGGUUCUCCCCGAAAGCUAUUUAGGUAGCGCCUCGUGAAUUCAUCUCCGGGGGUAGAGCACUGUUUCGGCAAGGGGGUCAUCCCGACUUACCAACCCGAUGCAAACUGCGAAUACCGGAGAAUGUUAUCACGGGAGACACACGGCGGGUGCUAACGUCCGUCGUGAAGAGGGAAACAACCCAGACCGCCAGCUAAGGUCCCAAAGUCAUGGUUAAGUGGGAAACGAUGUGGGAAGGCCCAGACAGCCAGGAUGUUGGCUUAGAAGCAGCCAUCAUUUAAAGAAAGCGUAAUAGCUCACUGGUCGAGUCGGCCUGCGCGGAAGAUGUAACGGGGCUAAACCAUGCACCGAAGCUGCGGCAGCGACACUAUGUGUUGUUGGGUAGGGGAGCGUUCUGUAAGCCUGUGAAGGUGGCCUGUGAGGGUUGCUGGAGGUAUCAGAAGUGCGAAUGCUGACAUAAGUAACGAUAAAGCGGGUGAAAAGCCCGCUCGCCGGAAGACCAAGGGUUCCUGUCCAACGUUAAUCGGGGCAGGGUGAGUCGACCCCUAAGGCGAGGCCGAAAGGCGUAGUCGAUGGGAAACAGGUUAAUAUUCCUGUACUUGGUGUUACUGCGAAGGGGGGACGGAGAAGGCUAUGUUGGCCGGGCGACGGUUGUCCCGGUUUAAGCGUGUAGGCUGGUUUUCCAGGCAAAUCCGGAAAACCAAGGCUGAGGCGUGAUGACGAGGCACUACGGUGCUGAAGCGACAAAUGCCCUGCUUCCAGGAAAAGCCUCUAAGCAUCAGGUAACAUCAAAUCGUACCCCAAACCGACACAGGUGGUCAGGUAGAGAAUACCAAGGCGCUUGAGAGAACUCGGGUGAAGGAACUAGGCAAAAUGGUGCCGUAACUUCGGGAGAAGGCACGCUGAUAUGUAGGUGAAGCGACUUGCUCGUGGAGCUGAAAUCAGUCGAAGAUACCAGCUGGCUGCAACUGUUUAUUAAAAACACAGCACUGUGCAAACACGAAAGUGGACGUAUACGGUGUGACGCCUGCCCGGUGCCGGAAG